RNAcentral lists this unclassified non-coding RNA (503 nucleotides) under Hevea brasiliensis (rubber tree). Lineage: Eukaryota; Viridiplantae; Streptophyta; Magnoliopsida; Malpighiales; Euphorbiaceae. The record is from RNAcentral.
AACACUUCUUAGCUUGCCUCUCUCUAAAACCAACAAGAACUAAAAGUCCCAAUGGCUGAGAAUAACAGGCCGAGGUUGUAUUUGACAAUCAAGUCAAAAAAAACUUAAAAAGUAAAAAUAAAAAUAAAGGGAGUGAAAAAAUGAUAUUAAAAGCACAACCCUAAACUUCUUGUCCCUUACUUUUUCACCCUCACUAGAUGGUUUUUUUCUUCAAAUUACAUCCUUUUUCUUUUUUCAAAACCAAGUUAAAUAAUUAAUCCCCUUUUGCUUUGGUUCUUGUGUCUUUUUUAGGAAAUAAUAAUAAUAAUUAGCAACGAGAACCCUUUUUACAGUUGAGUGCACCAGAACUAGACACAAGAUUGGCUACUAAUGAAGACGGCCUUGCACUCAAACUCGAAGCUUUAGCAUAACUUGAUGAACCAGUUCUAACUCCUGAUCGCGUAAAAAAUGCACCAUUCAACAUUAGGUCCCCAUCGGUCCUCCAAUUCCAAUUCUUCCAUUCA